UGGGGAAUAUUGCACAAUGGGCGCAAGCCUGAUGCAGCCAUGCCGCGUGUAUGAAGAAGGCCUUCGGGUUGUAAAGUACUUUCAGCGGGGAGGAAGGCGAUAAGGUUAAUAACCUUGUCGAUUGACGUUACCCGCAGAAGAAGCACCGGCUAACUCCGUGCCAGCAGCCGCGGUAAUACGGAGGGUGCAAGCGUUUAUCGGAAUUACUGGGCGUAAAGCGCACGCAGGCGGUCUGUCAAGUCGGAUGUGAAAUCCCCGGGCUCAACCUGGGAACUGCAUUCGAAACUGGCAGGCUAGAGUCUUGUAGAGGGGGGUAGAAUUCCAGGUGUAGCGGUGAAAUGCGUAGAGAUCUGGAGGAAUACCGGUGGCGAAGGCGGCCCCCUGGACAAAGACUGACGCUCAGGUGCGAAAGCGUGGGGAGCAAACA
This 427-nucleotide ribosomal RNA is filed under the name uncultured bacterium. RNAcentral's name for it is "partial 16S ribosomal RNA". It matches the Rfam family "Bacterial small subunit ribosomal RNA", at positions 355 to 774 of the family's 1533-position model. The record is from RNAcentral.